AAACUUCGCUGCCCCCAUUCACGGCUGUUCUCCAAAGGGGAGGCAAGCCUGAACGUUGGCAUGGCAGGGAGACAGCACAUCGGAAAACAGCAUCGACUUCCCCAUUCUGCUCAUGUCUGGUUGUGCAACUUGCUUCAAGUUACACAGCGCUCCACUUUACAAAGAUUUUCAAUAUUAAAUAGCCUCUUCUAUGGGUUCUGAACUGCGUCUGCUUUCAUCCAUCUCUUCAUUUUCACCCUACCAUUUUUAAACUCAGGAAGAAAUAAAGAAAUGCUGACAAGGCAUGCCAGUCUGAAUUCCCUGAGCAGUUGGCCUGUUUGACUUUGUGUGAUGGUGGGCCAACCUGUGUGCCUGCCGGCUCACACCACCGUAGCUCUUCAAACACAUUCUAUAGAUCCCGCUAAUAAAUUCCGUUUGGCUGCAACCCUUUCCCAGUUCCAGGCAGUUGCCUCUGAAGUGUAAGUGCAGCCUGUCUUGAAGCCAGGCUACUGCCACUUACUGGUGAUCUGUACCUCUUUGCAAAACUAAUCUACGCUGCAUUUAAAGACAGGAAGCAGGGUUUGAAUGAAAAUGCAGUACCAUGGCUAGAGGACACAGCUCUCACACCUUCUGCAGCUCCAGAAUAAGUGCUAUGUUUUAAAAAUAUAUAUGUAUGUGUUGGCAACAUUGAAAAGGGGGCUAAAAAAACAUCCCCCACAGAAGUGAGAGCAGCAGCAAAAGAAACGUUAGCGCCCUGCUGACGGGAACAAUAGAGCAUAUGGACAUCACACUGUGCUUGCCAAGCAGACGAGGGCAGGAUGAUCAAAAUGGAGUCAAUCUGCUUCUCUAAUAGCAGAAGAAUCGCCUGCGUGAAUACUCUCUCCAAGUGUGCACCGAGGCUCUUUAAUUGCCUGAGAAAGGAGAGAGGGUUUGGUUCACAUUUUAGCCAAGCAUAUGCCUUCCACUGGGUGCCUUUAUCUCAGAGCGCUUCCUGUGGGGAGUCUCAGGUGGCCACCAUCUGUGGAUCUACACACCUGAGACCUGGCACUAAGGCAGAACAUCACUCAGCAAGGGUUCCCGCACAGAAACCAUUCUUGACUGUCCCUGGGGUGGAGCUGAUUCCACCCGAGGCAUAGAAAAAGGUCUACUACAAAGCUCAGCUCAGGAGGAGAGUCGUCACUGUCCUCCAAGCGACUUCCUGGUUCCCACCUAUUUCCUUCUAAACCCAAUCCAAUCCCUUUCCCCUUCAGGAAAUCGAGUAGCAUGAAAGGUUACAAACCUCAAGGUCAACCUUUUUGUGUGUGUGCAAAUUUUUCAUCUUUAGUUCAAUAGUGAUUGAAAGGGAAAUGCAGAUGGCUUGACACAGCCCAUCACUUUUUCUGAGAACCAUCUGGAAAUAAAUUUCCUGUUGCUGUGAGUUGAAUUGUCCUUCUUACAACCAUGUUUGAUUGGCACUCUUGUAUCCUGUUUCCCUCCAUAAGGACUUUCCAACCCAAAAAGCACAGUGUGAGCAUAAGUAGAGGCCUUGUAUACUCUUUCCUGUGACUAAAGUAGUCUACACAAACACAACUCUGAAAUUUGGGUUUAAAGCACAAAAUGCUUCUCUGUUCUCUAGACUCAUGUAUCUAAGUGCCUGUUAAACAUUCUCAACUUGGAUGUCACACAGGGAUUCAAAAUUGUGUCACAAACAUAUUUCUCUCUCUGAAUCUCCACUGCCUCCUCUCCAGUCCAAAUUACAUCAUGUGUCACCUGGAAAACUACGAAACUCUCCCUCCCGAUUAGCAUUCUUCUAACCCUGAGCUCCCUUCCAUCUAUUUUCCAAACAAAAGAUAGAGUAUUUUUUAAACACCAAUUGUAUGACUUCACUUUCCUACUUAAAAUGUCUCAAUAAUUUCUCAUCACACUUCUGUUAGGAGCCAAACUUCU
This 1905-nucleotide long non-coding RNA is filed under the name Equus asinus (donkey). RNAcentral describes it as "lncRNA (ENSEASG00005033106.1)". Lineage: Eukaryota; Metazoa; Chordata; Mammalia; Perissodactyla; Equidae. The record is from RNAcentral.